UCCGGUCUCAUAUGAUAGCUUCUUUCACACUGAUUCUAAAAAUAUAUAGUUUCUAUGUACUUUUGUAUGUAGAAUGGGAGAUAAUUGGCUACUUCCGGUUUGUUGGAAGUCAGUUUUAGUCUAGAGUAAUCAGUUAAUGUAUCUAUAUGACAAAAUAUAUUGAUACUGAGUACUUUUAUAUGAAAAAAUUGCAAAAAAGGCUAUUUCCGGUUUUCUCAAGGUCACUUCCGGUAGUCAUUUUUCAAGGUCAUUUGUCACCAAACAUUUUGUACAAGGUUAAAUGCCUUUAUAAUGAACUUAG
RNAcentral lists this long non-coding RNA (301 nucleotides) under Mytilus galloprovincialis (Mediterranean mussel). The record is from RNAcentral. Lineage: Eukaryota; Metazoa; Mollusca; Bivalvia; Mytilida; Mytilidae.